This 434-nucleotide ribosomal RNA is filed under the name uncultured bacterium. RNAcentral's name for it is "bacterial SSU rRNA". It matches the Rfam family "Bacterial small subunit ribosomal RNA", at positions 64 to 524 of the family's 1533-position model. The record is from RNAcentral.
GAACGCGCUUCGCUAGAAUUGAGUGGCGGACGGGUGAGUAAACAUGGGUCACCUACCUUCCCGUGAAGGGAUACCGGUUGAGAAAUCGCCGACAAUCCCGCAUAGGCUCGGCUCGGGCAAUCGGGACGAUCAAUGUCGCAAGACGCGGGCAGAUGGGCCCGUGGCCGAUAAGCUCGUUGGUGGGGUAAGAGCUCACCAAUGCGACGAUCGGUAUCUGGUCUGAUAGGAUGAUCAUUCUCUCUGGGAUUGAGAUCGGCCCAUAUUCCUACUGGGGGCAUCAGUGAGGAAUUUUCGGCAAUGGGCGUACGCCUGACCGAGCAACGCCGCUUGCAUGAUGAAUGUCUUCUGAUCGUAAACUGCUUUUCGCUAUGACGAGAACGGACGGUACUCGCGGAAUCAGCCCCGGCUAACUACGUGCCAGCAGCCGCGGUAAU